GUGCUCGCUUUGGCAGCACAUAUACUAAAAUUGGAACGAUACAGAGAAGAUUAGCAUGGCCCCUGCGCAAGGAGGAAGACUCUUGGACCAGCUAUACAACCCAGUGAG
Small nuclear RNA from Cynocephalus volans (Philippine flying lemur), 108 nucleotides. Lineage: Eukaryota; Metazoa; Chordata; Mammalia; Dermoptera; Cynocephalidae. The record is from RefSeq and is a predicted model, not a curated record.